Non-coding RNA from Lepisosteus oculatus (spotted gar), 1190 nucleotides. The record is from RefSeq and is a predicted model, not a curated record. Lineage: Eukaryota; Metazoa; Chordata; Actinopteri; Semionotiformes; Lepisosteidae.
CAGGAUACACCCUGGACGGGACACCAGUCCAUCGCAGGGCACACGUAGACACAAACACCCACGCCAGAGCCACUUAACCUGUCGGUAUGUUUUUGGACUGCGGGGGGGGAUGGACCACUCGGAAGAAACCCACACGAACACGGGGAGAACGUAUGUUUAUAUAAACCCCAGAAAGACAGCAGCCCACUUCUGGAGCUGAACCCAGCCCCCCGGCGCUGCGAGGCAGCAGUGCUAACCGCUGAGACAUCGUGCCGCCUUCAAAGUUAUCGUGGUAAAACGUAAUCAGCGUGAGACCGUCCGUGUUGAAAACAGGGUGAAGCGAAGAAACGUGCGUUAAAACCACGGUACAAGCAUGGGAAAACAGUAAAAAGUCCAAACACGUGUGGUGAUUCAGUACCAUGACUGUCCUCGUUCCAAUGGAUUUGCCUUUGUUGCCACGUUGGUAAAUCGGCUCAGAGCAUUUCGGGAGUCCCAGAAAUAUCGCUCAGGUGAGCCGGGAGCCGCUAACCCGCCGGGACGCACCCCUGCUCCCACAGUUGCCAAGACUGGGAUUUGUGAGGAGACGGCGCUCCAGAGUACCGAAACCCCAAGGACUACCUCCCAAGUGCAUUAGCACCGAAGAGCGUUAUCGGCAUGCUCGACGACUCACAAUGUUGCCGAAGUAAUAAUAAAAAGAAAGUAGCAGUACAGCGUUUAGCGCAACAACGUUACGUCUGAGAGUCUCGGUCUCCGUCCCUCGGGCUGUGACGGGAGAUACUAUCAGUCUCCGUCUACGGCCGGGAAGAAAACGGGCUGGUUUCGAAACCCCAUAGGUCUGCAGUAGAAAACAGUACAAUAUAAACCCUCCUCUCCUGUGUUAAGGCACUCCCCUCAGCCAGGUAGGCCAAGCCGAGUCACAAGCUCCACCCGCAGAGGCAGAGCGGCGGAGGAAGAGGAACCGGACUGAUCAGCGUGUUCACACUCAGUCCGAUUCGGGCUCUUUUGCAGAUCCCGACCGAAUCCGAAGUUGUGGGUUUUCCCGGUUGGGUUUGUGCCGAAGCGAGGCAGUGAAGAUGGCUGAAGCAGAGCUCCAGGCUGCGGUCGCCGGACACAGCUCUCCCCGAGAUUAAAACGAGCUUCUAUCCAAAUGAAAAGCCCGGGAUCGUCCGCAUUCUACAUGCACCGUGUGUGAGAAGCUCGAACCCGAGACG